Molecule: ribosomal RNA, 564 nt
Filed under: uncultured Glomeromycotina
Lineage: Eukaryota; Fungi; Glomeromycota
Description: SSU rRNA
Rfam family: Eukaryotic small subunit ribosomal RNA
Source: RNAcentral
UUGGAGGGCAAGUCUGGUGCCAGCAGCCGCGGUAAUUCCAGCUCCAAUAGCGUAUAUUAAAGUUGUUGCAGUUAAAAAGCUCGUAGUUGAAUUUCGGGGUUAGUAGGUUGGUCAUGCCACUGGUAUGUACUGGUCUCACUGAUUCCUCCUUCCUGAUGAGCCGUAAUGCCAUUAAUUUGGCGUUGCGAGGAAUCUGGACUGUUACUUUGAAAAAAUAGAGUGUUUAAAGCAAGCUAACGCUUGAAUACAUUAGCAUGGAAUAAUGAAAUAGGACGUUCGAUCCUAUUUUGUUGGUUUCUAGGAUUGACGUAAUGAUUAAUAGGGAUAGUUGGGGGCAUUAGUAUUCAAUUGUCAGAGAUGAAAUUCUUGGAUUUAUUGGAGACUAACUACUGCGAAAGCAUUUGCCAAGGAUGUUUUCAUUAAUCAAGAACGAAAGUUAGGGGAUCGAAGACGAUCAGAUACCGUCGUAGUCUUAACCAUAAACUAUGCCGACUAGGGAUCGGAUGAUGUUAAUUUUUUAAUGACUCAUUCGGCGCCUUACGGGAAACCAAAGUGUUUGGGUUC